This is a non-coding RNA of Vicugna pacos (alpaca), 876 nucleotides long. The record is from RefSeq and is a predicted model, not a curated record. NCBI's taxonomy places the organism in Eukaryota, Metazoa, Chordata, Mammalia, Artiodactyla, Camelidae.
UCCUCCGCUCGGCUCCGCCCCUUGCCCCGGAAGCACUCCUAGCGGGCGGAGGUUUCUGGGCCUGUUCGCGAGCUGUGCUUCCUUUUUGUCCGACAUCUUAGCGAGACGGCAGCGGUAGCGGCUGCUCUCCAGGCUUCGCUAUGCCGCCCAAGGACGACAAGAAGAAGAAAGAUGCCGGAAAGUCGGCCAAGAAAGACAAAGAUCCGGUGAACAAAUCUGGAGGCAAGGCCAAAAAGAAGAAGUGGUCCAAAGGCAAAGUUCGCGACAAGCUUAAUAACCUAGUCUUGUUUGACAAAGCGACAUAUGACAAACUCUGUAAGGAAGUUCCAAACUAUAAGCUUAUAACCCCAGCCGUCGUCUCUGAAAGACUGAAGAUUCGUGGUUCCCUGGCCAGGGCAGCCCUUCAGGAGCUCCUUAGUAAAGGACUUAUUAAACUGGUUUCAAAGCACAGAGCUCAAGUGAUUUACACCAGGAACACCAAGGGUGGAGAUGCCCCAGCUGCUGGUGAAGAUGCAUGAACAGCCCUGCCCACAUCAUCUGACAAGGCCUGCCCCCUGGUGGGCAGGUAAGGAAAUUCAAGCCGAGCAGAUGAAGCAUGGAGUCCAUGAAUUCUCUUAAGAGCUGGCAGGUGAAAUGCUGGACAUGGGAGAACCAGGAAUCAGUGGAUUUGGAUACUGCUCUGGCUCCUCCGAGGGAAACCAACCUCUAAGACAGACCGAACCACCUCCUGCCGGCUGUGCUCCACCUCACGGAUCUGAGCUGCCAUCUGCGGGAGAGAGGCUGCUUAAAUAGGAAUCCAGACCUUUCACCAUAGACUUCUUGAAUCUAAAAAGAAAAAGGGCAAGUCAGCCCAGAACCCCAAUCCCUGCCAGUUGC